RNAcentral lists this ribosomal RNA (468 nucleotides) under uncultured bacterium. RNAcentral's name for it is "partial 16S ribosomal RNA". It matches the Rfam family "Bacterial small subunit ribosomal RNA", at positions 28 to 507 of the family's 1533-position model. The record is from RNAcentral.
GAUGAACGCUGGCGGCGUGCCUAACACAUGCAAGUCGAACGGAAAGGCCCUGCUUUUGCUGGGUGCUUGAGUGGCGAACGGGUGAGUAAAACGUGAGUAAAAUGCCCUUGAAAUUGGGAUAAAACCUGGAAAAUGCGGCUCUUAUCGGAUAGGAGCUCCUGAUGCAUGGUGGGGGUUGGAAAGUUUCGGCGGUUGGGGAUGGACUCGCGGCUUCUCAGCUUGUUGGUGGGGUAGUGGAGUUCAAAGGCUUUGACGGGUAGCCGGCCUUGGAGGCGGAACGGCGACAAUGGGACUGAGAUACGGCCCAGAAGCGUAUGGGAGGCAGUGGGCGGGAGUAUUACGCAAUGGGGGGAAGCCAGAUGCAGCAGCGCCGCGAGCGGAAUGACGGCCUUCGGGUGAUAAACCUCUUUCGCCGGAGAUGAAGCGAGAGUGACGGUAAUGGGUAAGAAAGCAACGGCUAACUACGUG